CUCUCUCCCUCCCCGCCUCCCAGCCCGCCGGGUGUAAUCGUCCCUCUUCCGGAGAUGAACGCGAAGCGACGUGGAAACCCUUCCACCAAAAUGAGCUGUGAUAUCCUUUUGAUGGCUAUAAUUUAUUCCAAAUCGUCCCUGGACUGAAACGAUCAAUUAGCAGCCCGAAACGCACUGUGAAGUAAAUUGUCACACUCUCUAUUACAGGAUGGUUAUCAUAUAUUUAUAAGGUGUGUUUUCUGCAAUCAGAACCAACAAGGUGUUGAGCGAUCAGUCAUAAAUUCACUUCUUCAAAAAAAAGAGAGGGAGAGAAGCUUCAGUAUUGUAUGGCAGGGAAGAAAAAUCCUUAUGACAGUUAUCCCUCCCUCCCUAGUGACGCUUCCUCUAGUGAGGGCUCUGCACCGACUUCUCUCCGUCACUCACAGCCCCGGAGCAGUGGGAGCUGUGAACUAGCAGGAGAAUGGUAGUCCUCAGAGGAGAGGUUUCCCUACUGUGUAAGCACAGA
RNAcentral lists this long non-coding RNA (505 nucleotides) under Mus pahari (shrew mouse). RNAcentral's name for it is "predicted gene 29464 (MGP_PahariEiJ_G0004568.1)". Lineage: Eukaryota; Metazoa; Chordata; Mammalia; Rodentia; Muridae. The record is from RNAcentral.